CUUCUGUACUGUCUCGGCCAUAAUCUCAGCGAAAUUGUAGUGAUGGUGAAGAUGCCAGCGUCCCGUUGUGGGACGGAAAGACCCCGUGCACCUUUACUAUAACCUAGCACUGGAUUUUGAUUUUAAAUGCGUAGGAUAGGUGGGAGACUAUGAAAGUUUAAUUUUGGUUAAGCUGGAGUCGUUGGUGAAAUACCACCCUUUUGAUGUUAGGAUUCUAACUUAAAUCCGUUAUCCGGAUUGAGGACAAUGUUAGGCGGGUAGUUUGACUGGGGCGGUUGACUCCUAAAGAGUAACGGAGUCGCUCAAAGGUUCUCUCAGCCUGAUUGGAAACCAGGCGUCGAGUGUAAUGGCACAAGAGAGCUUGACUGUGAGAUUGACAAAUCGAGCAGGUACGAAAGUAGGACAUAGUGACCCGGUGGCUUCCAUGUGGGAGGGCCAUCGAUCAUCGGAUAAAAGGUACGCCGGGGAUAACAGAUUAAUCGCGCCCAAGAGUUCACAUCGACGGCGCGGAUUGAUACCUCGAUGUCGGCUCAUCGCAUCCCGGGGCUGUAGAAGGUCCCAAGGGUUGAGCUGUUCGCUCAUUAAAGCGGUACGCGAGCUGGGUUCAGAACGUCGUGAGACAGUUCGGUCCCUAUCUACAACGGGCGAAGGAGAAUUGAGAGGGGUUGCUCAUAGUACGAGAGGACCUGAGUGAACAAACCUCUAGUGUACCAGUUGUUGUGCCAACAGCAGUGCUGGGUAGCUACGUUUGGAAAGGAUAACCGCUGAAAGCAUCUUAAGUGGGAAACCUGCCUCGAGAUUAAUUCUCCCGAACCAUUAGGUUCCUUAAGACCACUCGAAGACUACGAGUUUGAUAGGCACAGUGUGUAAGUUCAGUAAUGAAUUCAGCUAAUGUGUACUAAUCGGUCGUGAGCCUUAACUAC
This 923-nucleotide ribosomal RNA is filed under the name Candidatus Dadabacteria bacterium. RNAcentral describes it as "partial 23S ribosomal RNA". It matches the Rfam family "Bacterial large subunit ribosomal RNA", at positions 2008 to 2925 of the family's 2925-position model. The record is from RNAcentral. Lineage: Bacteria; Pseudomonadati; Thermodesulfobacteriota; Candidatus Dadabacteria.